GCCCGGCUAGCUCAAUGGCAGAGCGUUGAGCUUCUAUGUGAUGUCUCAACUCAAAGGUUGUGGGUUCGAGUCCCACGUUGGGCU
Non-coding RNA from Hypomontagnella submonticulosa, 84 nucleotides. Lineage: Eukaryota; Fungi; Ascomycota; Sordariomycetes; Xylariales; Hypoxylaceae. The record is from the annotation of a GenBank genome assembly.